AGCUCCAAUAGCGUAUAUUAAAGUUGCUGCAGUUAAAAAGCUCGUAGUUGGAUCUCGGGGUACCUGGUCUAGCCGGUAUAGCUCACGCUAAAACUGGUCUGACCCCCCAACGUGAGGUAUUCGUCUCCGGGUGCACUUCAUUGGGUGCUCGUGAGGGGCCUCGUAGUUACUGUGAAAAAAUUAGAGUGUUCAAAGCAGGCUCAUAUGUUCGGAUAGUCGUGCAUGGAAUAACUGAAUACGGGACUGGCUCUUUUGAGUUGGUUUGGGCGACUGGUCAAUGGAUUAAAGGGAACGUCCGGGGCAUUGGUAUGGCGGGGUUAGAGGUGAAAUUCUUGGAUCCUCGCCAGACCAACAAAAGCGAAAGCAUUUGCCAAGAAUGUCUUCA
RNAcentral lists this ribosomal RNA (385 nucleotides) under marine Metazoa environmental sample. RNAcentral's name for it is "SSU rRNA". It matches the Rfam family "Eukaryotic small subunit ribosomal RNA", at positions 587 to 972 of the family's 1831-position model. The record is from RNAcentral. Lineage: Eukaryota; Metazoa.